This 935-nucleotide ribosomal RNA is filed under the name uncultured bacterium. RNAcentral describes it as "bacterial SSU rRNA". It matches the Rfam family "Bacterial small subunit ribosomal RNA", at positions 8 to 916 of the family's 1533-position model. The record is from RNAcentral.
AGAGUUUGAUCCUGGCUCAGAACGAACGCUGGCGGCGUGCUUAAGGCAUGCAAGUCGUGCGAGAAAGCCACCUUCGGGUGGUGAGUACAGCGGCGCACGGGUGAGUAACGCGUGGGUAAUCUGCCUUCGGGUCUGGGACAACACCGGGAAACUGGUGCUAAUACCGGAUAAGACCACGAUGACUUCGGUCGAUGCGGAAAAAGGUGGCCUCUCCUUGGAAGCUACCGCCCGAUGAUGAGCCCGCGUCCCAUUAGCUUGUUGGUGGGGUAAAAGCCUACCAAGGCUUCGAUGGGUAGCUGGUCUGAGAGGACGAUCAGCCACACUGGAACUGAGACACGGUCCAGACUCCUACGGGGGGCAGCAGCCGGGAAUCUUGGGCAAUGGGCGCAAGCCUGACCCAGCAACGCCGCGUGAGGGAUGAAGGCCCUCGGGUCGUAAACCUCUGUCGGGAGGGAAGAAAUGGCCGUAGGCGAAUAGUCUGCGGUUUUGACGGUACCUCCAAAGGAGGCACCGGCUAACUCCGUGCCAGCAGCCGCGGUAAUACGGAGGGUGCAAGCGUUGUUCGGAAUUACUGGGCGUAAAGCGGGCGCAGGCGGCUUGACAGGUCGGGUGUGAAAUCCCGGGGCUCAACCCCGGAACUGCACUCGAAACCGUCUCGCUAGAGUCCCGGAGAGGAUGGCGGAAUUCCCGGUGUAGAGGUGAAAUUCGUAGAUAUCGGGAGGAACACCAGUGGCGAAGGCGGCCAUCUGGACGGUGACUGAUGCUCAUGUCCGAAAGCGUGGGGAGCAAACAGGAUUAGAUACCCUGGUAGUCCACGCCGUAAACGUUGAGUGCUCGUCGUCGCGGGUAUUGACCCCUGCGGUGACCAAGCUAACGCAUGAAGCACUCCGCCUGGGGAGUACGGCCGCAAGGCUAAAACUCAAAGGAAUUGACGG